Molecule: long non-coding RNA, 4286 nt
Filed under: Canis lupus familiaris (dog)
Lineage: Eukaryota; Metazoa; Chordata; Mammalia; Carnivora; Canidae
Description: lncRNA (ENSCAFG00000056407.1)
Source: RNAcentral
AAAUCCAUGUUUUCCAUCUUGCUUUCUUUUGUGUCUGGGUGCACUGGCCAAAACUAGACCUUGAGAUUCUGAAGUGGAAACAAAUUAAAAAAAAAAAAAAAAAACCAAAACCACCUUUAUUUCAAAGUUGUGAGGUGCCUCCUAAGAGUACAGACUUUGCCUGACACCUCCUUUGUUCUGGGAAUACUAUCUGUAUAAGGAGUUGAAUUUCACAGUUGUCUGGGGUAAGUUCCCUCCUCUCCUCCUGAGGGAGAUUUGUUGUUGAGAUGUAGCCCCGAGCAUCCCUAAGAUGCUUCAGACUGGAAAGUUGCACAGAGUGUGACAGCAGAAACCAGGUGUGUCAGCGAGCAGAGUUCUGUUCUUGGUCAUGUUGCUUCUUUGGAAGAAAUGUGUUUUGUUUUUGUUGUUUGCUAUAAUUUGCACAUUUGAAAGGAAGCAUCACUUCUCAGACCUGGAUCAGAAUUGAGGUAUUGAGGACUCAGUGUACUUUUCUUCAAGAAGGCACAGAAAACCUGGGGCUGCUGUGCAGCCAGAACUGCAGGCCAGCUGCUUUGGAGAACAACUGGGGCUGGCCUGAUGUUGGAAAAAACAGAGACGCUCCUUUGGGCUUGGCCCUACCCAAUCUGGACUGGAACUCAGGAGCCCCACCCUGGGUUCAGGCCAGAUCCCAUCACCCAGCAUGUCCCGAUGCAUAUGGGCCCAAAGAGACAAAGGCCCUCCCUGUGGUUGGCAGCCCACCAGUGUUCCCUGAAUGAGAUGGGCCUUCCUGCUGUAUAUCAUCUGGAAAAGAGGACUUAGGCUGGCAUUCAUCUAGGCAAAGGGCCUCUGGCCCCCCUCUCUGGGGCUUGUCACAGAGUUUGGAGAAAGGGCCUCUUUCUCAGAUUAUCACCACCACCUCCAUCCUCCCCAGUCUAGGAGCUCAACACAGUCACUGUUAGAGGUAACCAUUGGUUGUGUUAUGCAUUGUACUUCCUUUCUAUUAUUCCAGAAACUUCCAUAAAGUCUUGUUAAAUAUUGCAGUAAACAACACAGCUGAGAAUGGAGGAGUGGAAUCUUGGUACUGCUGACUGGGAAGUAGGAAAAUGGAUGCUGGGAAGCUGCAAACAGAUGCUCACAAUACAGGCCACCUGCUCCCUGGCCAAGGUUGACAGUUCUGUGGAAGAAAACUGGAGCCAAGAACCUGGGGUGGGGGUGGGGUGUGGGGAGUGGGGAAUGGGUAGUGGGAAUAUGAAGUCCUUGUGUAAUAAUAGGAAUCUGGGAUUCUGUGAAGACCAGAAUAGUGUGAAAAAUUAAGGAGUGGAUGGCCUGAGGGAGGAAGGUGUUUUGUAUUACAGGACUCUGUCUUCCACCCUAAUAUUUUCAUCAACAACUUAAAUAUUGACCCAGAAGGCACAUAAAGCAAUAAGGAAUAAAGGGUACUUGCUGACAGAAUUAGGAUACAAAAAGAUUCCGAGAAAAGGGAUAUUAGGACCAAAAAGAGCUCCAACAUAAGAGUGUCUGGUAAUGCUGAGGAAUAACAGUUGAGUAGAGUGAGCAGAAAGCUGGACUUGUUGUUGUGGUUUCUCUGUUCAAUGGGACUCUUUUCCUUUCCACUGUUUGUAAUUCAAACCCAAGCCGAAAGAUAAUGGGCUGGCCCACAUAACUAGAAAGUGUAGGUGUGUUACCUUCUGGCAUAGCUAGAUCCAGUGAUCAAACGAUGUUGUUAGUCUCUGAUUCUCAUGUCUGUACUACUUGUCUCUGAUUGGUUUUAUUCUUCCUUACGGUUCUCUCCUAUACCAAGAUGAUUGCCAGCAAUCCAAGACUUAACACCCACCUGCCUUAGCAACCUUAGAAAGAAAUGCCUGUAUCCCAACAUCCAUAUGAAAACCCUAGGAAAGACUAAUUGGUCCUGCUAGGAUCGUCUGCCCACCCUCUGGACCAAUCACUGUCUAGGGAAUAUGGUGCCAUAUUGGCUCCACCUAGACCAUUUUGCAAAGUAAAGGAAACAAGUUGAUUGACCACCACAGCAGAAAUGGAAUGUGGAGAGGUUGGUUUCCUCAGGCAACAGGUGGUGGCUGACAAGAGCAACAUGCCCAUCAUGGUUUCUGCUUCUGACUUACCAACACUAGGCUGGUACCAUUUGUCUGGUCUCUGCUGUAUUCCAGGGCCCAGCACUGUGGACUCUUGAUAAAUGUUUAUUGAAUGAUGAGUGAACUUCCUUCUCUGUGAACCUUAGUUCUCUUCUUCUGUUGAAUGGGAAUAAUAUUCUGUAUACUUAUUUCACAUGGUUGGAAUGUGGCUCAGGAAGACUAUGGAGUGGAUGGGUUUGGAAACACGUGUUCAGUCUUCCAAAUAUCACUGAUGGUGGUGAACCAGCCAGUGCCAUCAUGUGAUGCUGGCCAGGGCAACCCUGGGGAAAGACAGGAGUUAUUCUGUUGUUCUAUGAUCCCCUUGCCUCUUGCCCCCACCUCAGGAGAGCCUAACCCUUCUGAGUGGGAGGCUCAACCUCUCACCAUAUGCAUUUCCUCCAUCAUACUUGGGUUUUGUCUACCCAGAGAACACAGGUUCUGUAACGGAGUUUCCUUCCUAUUGCCCAUCUUGGUUGAAAAAUGGAGGAAGUGGUGCUGAGGAACAUUCCAGACCCAUUCUUUCUUCCUCCUUGGAGAUUUCCUCCAUAGCACUGAUUUAGCAAACUUCAUCCAUUGCCUGUUAAUUGCUAGGUGGGAGCAAAGUGUGAAUAUAGACCCCUUCCAAAUAGACCCCUCCCAUGCUCUUGGGAGGGCUACCUUAAUAUGAGACAAUGUUACUUGUUCCUAAAUUAAUCUGUAACUAUAAGCCCAAUAAAAACUCCAGCUAUAAAAACUUACUCUGAAAUGUGUGAGGAGGAAUAAAGGUCUAUGGAUGCCUAAGUAAAAGGAGGGUGGGCAGGAAUCUCCCUCUCCCAAAUAUUCAGGCAUACUACAAUGACAUUGUUUUAAAACAAACAAAAAAUCAGUAUGGUGUUAGUGAAAGAAUAGACAAUCCAUUGGGACAGCAUGAGUUCAGAGAUGGAUCUCUAGUUCUAGGGAAGUUUAAUACAAUAUAAGGUGCAUCAAAGUCAGCCGUUCUUACUGGGAAAACUCUACCUCACUUUAUAAAGAAAAACAAUGUUAUCCCGUACAAGGUGGGUGAUCAGAUGGUGGGUUAAAGAGUCCAUGUGAAUGGCAAAAUUGUAACAUUGAUAGAAAAAAAGACACAUGAGGGGAACAUCUUUGAGACUCAAGGUGAGGAAAAGAUUUAUUAGACAAAAUUUUGAAGCACAGUCCAUAAUGCAAAAAAAAAAAAAAAAAAAAGAGAGAGAGAGGAGACUUCACCAUGUCAAAAUGAAAGAUAUCUGUUCCAAAUGACACUUGACAAAAUGAGAGAAUAUGUGCAAAGUCAAAAUUGACAAGAUUAGUACAGCCUCAGUAUACAAGGAACUCCUGCAAAUUAGCAAGAAAAAUAAAUGAACGAUGGAUAUGAGCACAGACUUUUUCAAAGAGGAAACCCCCCAAAAAGCCAAGAAAUAUAUGAAGAUAUAGCCAAAAUCAUUAGUAUAGAAAUGCAGGUUGUAAUAAGAUAUCCAAACAGACUUCUCUCCAGAGAAGACCUACAAAUGGCCAAUAAGCACAUGAAAAGAUGUUCAACAUUGCUAAUCAUUAGGGAGAUGCAAAUCAAAACUAUAAUGAGCUACCACCUUGUACCCAUUAGGAUGGCUACUAGGAAAACAGAAAACAAGUGUUGGUAAGGAUGUGGACCAUGAAAUCCAUGUGCCACUGUUGGUGGGAGCGUCAAAUGGUACAGCCACUAAGAAAACUAUAUGGCAGUUCCUCAAGAAGUCAAGAAUAGAACUACCAUGUGAUCCAGCAUUUCUAAUCCUGGAUGCAGACCCCAAAGAAUUGAAGGCAGAAUCUCAAAGAGAUAUUUGCACACCCAUGUUCAUAGCAGCAUUAUUCACAAUAGCCCCAAAAUGGCAGGAACCCAUGUCCAUGACAGGUGAAUGAAUAAACAAAAUAUGUCACAUGUGUACAAUGGAAUAGUAUUCAGCUUUAAAAAGCAAGGGGAGGGACGCCUGGGUGGCCCAGUGGUUGAGCAUCUGCCUUUGGCUCAGGGCGUGAUCCCAGAGUCCCAGGAUCGAGUCCCACAUCGGGCUCCCCGCAGGGAACCUGCUUCUCCCUCUGCCUAUGUCUCUCCUUCUCUCUCUGUGUCUCUCAUGGAUAAAUAAAAUCUUUUAAAAAAUAAAUAAAAUAAAAUAAAAUAAAAUAAAAUAAAAUAAAAUAAAAUAAAAA